This 153-nucleotide ribosomal RNA is filed under the name Escherichia coli. RNAcentral's name for it is "partial 16S ribosomal RNA". It matches the Rfam family "Bacterial small subunit ribosomal RNA", at positions 1 to 145 of the family's 1533-position model. The record is from RNAcentral. Lineage: Bacteria; Pseudomonadati; Pseudomonadota; Gammaproteobacteria; Enterobacterales; Enterobacteriaceae.
UUAAAUUGAAGAGUUUGAUCAUGGCUCAGAUUGAACGCUGGCGGCAGGCCUAACACAUGCAAGUCGAACGGUAACAGAAAGCAGCUUGCUGCUUUGCUGACGAGUGGCGGACGGGUGAGUAAUGUCUGGGAAACUGCCUGAUGGAGGGGGAUA